This 392-nucleotide ribosomal RNA is filed under the name uncultured bacterium. Its description in RNAcentral is "partial 16S ribosomal RNA". It matches the Rfam family "Bacterial small subunit ribosomal RNA", at positions 523 to 918 of the family's 1533-position model. The record is from RNAcentral.
AUACGUAUGGGGCGAGCGUUGUCCGGAAUGAUUGGGCGUAAAGGGUACGUAGGCGGUUAAUUAAGUCGAGUGUGAAAGGUUGGGGCUCAACCCCAUAAAGCAUUCGAAACUGGUUAACUUGAGAUGUGGAGAGGAAAGUGGAAUUCCUAGUGUAGCGGUGACAUGCGUAGAUAUUAGGAGGAAUACCAGUAGCGAAGGCGACUUUCUGGACACAUACUGACGCUGAGGUACGAAAGCGGGGGGAGCAAACAGGAUUAGAUACCCUGGUAGUCCACGCCGUAAACGAUGAAUGCUAGGUGUCGGGGGUCAAACCUCGGUGCCGCCGCUAACGCAUUAAGCAUUCCGCCUGGGGAGUACGGCCGCAAGGCUGAAACUCAAAGGAAUUGACGGGG